UGCAAGUCGAGGGGCAGCGGGAUUGAAGCUUGCUUCAAUUGCCGGCGACCGGCGCACGGGUGAGUAACGCGUAUCCAACCUUCCGUACACUCAGGGAUAGCCUUUCGAAAGAAAGAUUAAUACCUGAUGGUAUGAUGAGAUUGCAUGAUAGCAUCAUUAAAGAUUCAUCGGUGUACGAUGGGGAUGCGUUCCAUUAGGUAGUAGGCGGGGUAACGGCCCACCUAGCCUACGAUGGAUAGGGGUUCUGAGAGGAAGGUCCCCCACAUUGGAACUGAGACACGGUCCAAACUCCUACGGGAGGCAGCAGUGAGGAAUAUUGGUCAAUGGACGAGAGUCUGAACCAGCCAAGUAGCGUGAAGGAUGAAGGUCCUACGGAUUGUAAACUUCUUUUAUAAGGGAAUAAAACCUCCCAC
Molecule: ribosomal RNA, 413 nt
Filed under: uncultured bacterium
Lineage: Bacteria
Description: bacterial SSU rRNA
Rfam family: Bacterial small subunit ribosomal RNA
Source: RNAcentral